RNAcentral lists this ribosomal RNA (486 nucleotides) under uncultured bacterium. Its description in RNAcentral is "SSU rRNA". It matches the Rfam family "Bacterial small subunit ribosomal RNA", at positions 26 to 521 of the family's 1533-position model. The record is from RNAcentral.
AGAGCGAACGCUGGCGGCAGGCCUAAUACAUGCAAGUCGAACGGAUCCUUCGGGAUUAGUGGCGUACGGGUGAGUAACACGUGGGAACGUGCCCUUUGGUUCGGAACAACGUAGGGAAACUUACGCUAAUACCGCAUACGUCCUACGGGAGAAAGCAGGGGACCUUCGGGCCUUGCGCGGUGGGACGAACCGAUGUUCGAUUAGCUAGUUGGUAAGGUAAUGGCUUACCAAGGCGACGAUCGAUAGCUGGUCUGAGAGGAUGAUCAGCCACACUGGAACUGAGACACGGCCCAGACUCCUACGGGAGGCAGCAGUGGGGAAUUUGGACAAUGGGCGCAAGCCUGAUCCAGCCAUGCCGCGUGCGGGAAGAAGGCCUUCGGGUUGUAAACCGCUUUGUCAGGGAAGAAACGCUCCGGGCUAAUACCUUGGAGUAAUGACGGUACCUGAAGAAUAAGCACCGGCUAACUACGUGCCAGCAGCCGCGGU